RNAcentral lists this long non-coding RNA (263 nucleotides) under Capsella rubella. Its description in RNAcentral is "long non-coding RNA (CRUB_LNC000909)". The record is from RNAcentral. Lineage: Eukaryota; Viridiplantae; Streptophyta; Magnoliopsida; Brassicales; Brassicaceae.
CUUUUGCAAGUCUGAGUUCAUGGUAGCCAACAUGAGACAACACACAUCGACCCUAUCAUUGACAUGCUUAUCAUAAGCAUUUCUCUCUGCAUGUGGAAGAUUUGCCUUAGGCUUCUCAAGCGGCAAAUUCUUUUCAAGGACAUAUUCCUUUUUCUCCUGCUUGAGAACAAUUCUCAAGUUUCGAUACCACUCGAGGAAAUUCGAUCCAUUCAGCUUGUCCUUCUCAAGGACGGAUCAAAGUGAAAAUGAACUGUGAGGGUUUG